UUUCCGUAGGUGAACCUGCGGAAGGAUCAUUAGCGAAAAGUCUUGGGGGCCUCUGACCGGGGCUCCCAACUUUCGACUCUACCCUGUGCACCGUGACCUUUUUUUCGCGCUCGUACGAGUUUAGGAUGUAUCGAAACAUAUACCAAUGGCACAAAAUGAAGCAACGGAUCUCUUGGCUCUCGCAUCGAUGAAGAACGCAGC
RNAcentral lists this unclassified non-coding RNA (201 nucleotides) under uncultured fungus. RNAcentral describes it as "sequence contains ITS1, 5.8S rRNA gene". The stretch from base 153 to 201 matches the Rfam family "5.8S ribosomal RNA", at positions 1 to 49 of the family's 154-position model. Lineage: Eukaryota; Fungi. The record is from RNAcentral.